This 3600-nucleotide long non-coding RNA is filed under the name Equus asinus (donkey). RNAcentral's name for it is "lncRNA (ENSEASG00005033968.1)". The record is from RNAcentral. Lineage: Eukaryota; Metazoa; Chordata; Mammalia; Perissodactyla; Equidae.
AAUUCUCAGCAGCUCACACACAGGACAUGCACUUGUCAAUUAGCUUUGAGCUCACACGUCAAAAGAGACAGGUCUGCGGUUUCACAUUGCCCUUCCGGGAGACAACUCAUCUUGGCCAAUAACCAGCAUUAGCCCGGCCACGUCUUCAGCAGAGCCCUUCCUUCUCCUGAUAGUAAGAGGCUGGAUGGGUUUGUCAUCUCUCAUUUGAAGUACCCAUCAGAACACUCUCAGGUCAUCUCUACCCACAGCCCCCUGACCACCAAAAUUUGGGAAAACUCCAGAAAUGCAGAUUUGAUUCAAUUCAAUUCAAUGACAUUUAUGAGAUACCUGCUACGCACAAGGAAAUGCAUUAAAAGUUACCGAAGACACAAGGAUGAAAAAGGCCUGUCCCUUUCCUUCAGGGACUAUAUGGUGAUCUAUAGAAAAAGACAGACACAGACACAAGUAACUACACAAGACUACAAGACUGUGAGUAGGUGCUGUCAAAGGAGACCAACUCCAGGUUGCAUUUACCAAGCGCGUCCUCGGCCUGGAGCCUGCACUGACCACCUGCAGGCGUGCUUUCAUCUCCUUUCACAGCAACUUCGAGAGGCAGUGUUCUCAUUGAGUCCAUUUCACAGAUGAGGAAGCUGAGACUCAAGAGGCCAAGCCGUUUCCCAAGGUCACACAGCUGCCCACAACUGGGAUUUCACCCGCUAGUGUGUCUCCACUCGCUGUUUGAAGACCACUGCUCUAGGCUAGGUCGUCGCUCUCUCGGUGAACCUCGCUUCGGCAGCUCUCUGGCAUCAGACAGUGGAGCUGCUUGCAGAGACCUCCCAGUCCUUUGCUCUUCCUUGCUCACAACCCAGAACAAGCAUCCAGAGGAGCAUUCUAACCUGACCUCUGAUGCGCCACACCGUCCUUUCUUUUGGCCUUCUCUCCUGGUCACCUUCUUUUCCAGCAUCACGAAGCUCCCUCUUUCUCUCCUCUUCCUCAUGGUUUCCUCCCAGUUUUCCAAACUCUGGAAACUUCUUCGUUAUUCAGAGAACAUGACUUGGGACUCCACCACCUUGAGAGAUGAUGGCCAAGAAAUCCAGCUGAUUUCAGUUUAAAGAUUGAGUUUGCGUGCCUGGCCAGCAAGGAGACACUCCAUUUCUGUAAAGGGUUUCGCAGGAAGGAGGGGAGCUGAAUGUUUACUGAGCAGCUACUAGAUGUCUGGAGCUCUCUGUGGAUGCUAAGGGCAUCAUCUCACUCAUUGCUCUCAAGAGCCUCAUAAAACAGGAUCUUAUUACCGCUGUUCCACCAGGAGACUCAGAGAAGAGGUCAGUCACCCACGGCCGAGGAUGAACUCAGGUCGGGUGGGGCUGAGGGGUGGCAAGGCUCACACUGGGCAGGCAGGCCCAGGAGAGAAGAGCCGAUUCUUCCCACAGGGGGCUGUGCAUCCCUCGGGAUGGGCAUCACGGCAGAACAGGUCUCCAGGCAAACAGGCAUCGUUGUGUGAAAGAACAUGGACCAGUCUUCCCAAGGGCUCCUGCACACCCGUCCCAGGAGGAAAUUUCCAAGGCAAAGUCAGGGAGAGAGAUGAGGGAGGUGAAGAAAGAAACGGCGAGAAAGAGGAAAACAGAGCAAGACAGAAGCAGAGAUCAAAGUAGAGGCAAAGAAAACUAUCAUGCCUUUUAAUAGCACAUUUUCUCCAUUGGAAGGUAAACACUUUUUUCACUUUCUAACAUUCUCGAAAUCAAGGUACAGCUUAUAAUCAAUGUCAAGAGAAACUUGUCAGCUUAUGGUACAUCUUACAAUCACGGUGAGCGGGAACAGAGAAAAACAGUGCAGUUCAAGGCCGCCCCUGAGGCUCGCGAGGUGAACAUCACUGGGCCGUCCCAGCUUCCCGGCGGAGCUCGCAGAUUCCUGCAAUUCUGCAGCCUGUUCUGGCAUGUUAUCACAGGGCUUUACACAAUCUGGGUACCAUGCCUUUAGACACGCUGACUUCUGGAAAAGGAAAUUGGGGGGCCAUAAUUAUAUUUUUAUUUGCACAGUCUCACGUAUCUAUUUUCAAAUGUGCGUUCCCAGCAGUUGGGGGCUUUUUUUUUCUUUUCUUUUUGUUUUUGGUUUUUUUUUGCAGUAGCAAUUAACCUAAUAAGCCACCUCUCAUUCCUCUGGUACAUUAACUACCCCAGAGAACAUCAGAGAAACACAGGGCUUUGCAGUCAUUCACGCACCUUCAGAAGCCAGGCCGAACAAUGGGGGUUGUUUUUACUGUGCGAUGCUGGCAAUUAGAGAGAAGAGGCCCCUCAGGUAGCUGUUGCGAAAGGUCCCUUAAUUUGACUCUGUUUCACACAGUCCAAUUUUCAAUAAAAUGAGGCACUUCAGACUGUCCCUUAGGAAAUCACCUCGGAGCCCAUAAUCCCUAGUUCUUCCUGGGGGUUAUUCAGUCUACAGUCCUCCCUUCUGAUCUGUUUGCAUCAAACCAGCCCUCCUUCUUUCCGCGUGCUAUUUACCCAGGGAUGUUUCCAUGACCAGCCUCCGUGCCCCAUGGCAAUAUCCGUCAAGUGCAGCCCUUUCUCCCUCGUUCCAUUGGCACCUCCCUUCUUAUCAUUAUUUUUGAUGAUCUGCCCGAACUUGCUUCUCUUUCCGACUGUCAGUGGAAACCCAAAGCAGUGUUUGAUGGUUUAUUCAUUAUUUACUUAUUUAUUUAUUGAAUGAUAUUUCUAUUGCAAAUACGUUUUUUCCAGAAGCAGAAAGAAAAAUAUACUCCAGCUCCUUGCCCCCAAACUCUGAUCUGCACUGUGUAUUCUUGUGCAUCCAAAGGCGCCCAAAUUCUCUGUGAAAUGUCCUCCCUGGGCGCUUCUGUGCUACGUUUGCUUUUUGUCCCCACAUUUCCCGCCUUGAAUCUUGAUCUGGCAGUCCAGGACCAGACAACAGUAAAACUCGACCUUCCUUCAGACAGAAUUCCCUUCCGAUGGAGCUAAAAUUUUUCCACUCUGGUACCCAGGAAAUGCGGGUGCUUCCCAGAGAGCCCCUGUGCAGGCUUCAGAGCUGGCUGCUGUGUGCUCACAUUUCUCUGGCAGGCCUCCGGCGUCGAUAGCUGGGCCUGGGUAUCAAAGAGCAUGUCAGGGAUUUGAGUUCUGCUGAGUCAGCCUCACCCUCAGCUGCUUCACGUCAUGGGCGCGAGGCACACCAAGAUGCUAACAACUUUCCACUCUUCACUCACGCCACUUGUGCAAAACUUAGCUCAGGCAUCCGUUCCUCCAGAAAACCUCCAAGAGUCCAGGCUCAGCUCCCUGCUCUCCUUUAGGCUCGUGUACCGGAUACUCCAUGCUCCUCCGAAGGACCUGUCGGUCUGUGUCCCCAACAGGACAGAAGGCUCUUCAAAGGGAGUGUAUUGGAAAAUGCUCCUCCAGCUGCAAGUGACAGCAAACCAAACCCACGGGAUUAAGCACAAGAAAAUGUCUUGGCUGCAGAGGCUGAAGGUGGGGCUGGCUUCAGACGUGGCUUGAUGCAGGAGCUCAGACAAUAUUAUCAGGACUUGUUGCUGUCCAACACUCGGCAUAAGUCCAUUGGCUUCCUUCCCAGACGGACUCUCCCCUCAUACGCUCUCAGCUUCAUGUCCCGUGGGGAAGA